GUUGGUGGGGUAAAGGCCUACCAAGGCGACGAUCAGUAGCGGGUCUGAGAGGAUGAUCCGCCACACUGGGACUGAGACACGGCCCAGACUCCUACGGGAGGCAGCAGUGGGGAAUUUUGGACAAUGGGCGCAAGCCUGAUCCAGCCAUGCCGCGUGUCUGAAGAAGGCCUUCGGGUUGUAAAGGACUUUUGUCAGGGAAGAAAAGGCUGUUGCUAAUAUCAGCGGCUGAUGACGGUACCUGAAGAAUAAGCACCGGCUAACUACGUGCCAGCAGCCGCGGUAAUACGUAGGGUGCGAGCGUUAAUCGGAAUUACUGGGCGUAAAGCGGGCGCAGACGGUUACUUAAGCAGGAUGUGAAAUCCCCGGGCUCAACCCGGGAACUGCGUUCUGAACUGGGUGACUCGAGUGUGUCAGAGGGAGGUAGAAUUCCACGUGUAGCAGUGAAAUGCGUAGAGAUGUGGAGGAAUACCGAUGGCGAAGGCAGCCUCCUGGGACAACACUGACGUUCAUGCCCGAAAGCGUGGGUAGCAAACAGGAUUAGAUACCCUGGUAGUCCACGCCCUAAACGAUGUCAAUUAGCUGUUGGGCAACUUGAUUGCUUAGUAGCGUAGCUAACGCGUGAAAUUGACCGCCUGGGGAGUACGGUCGCAAGAUUAAAACUCAAAGGAAUUGACGGGGACCCGCACAAGCGGUGGAUGAUGUGGAUUAAUUCGAUGCAACGCGAAGAACCUUACCUGGUCUUGACAUGUACGGAAUCCUCCAGAGACGGAGGAGUGCCUUCGGGAGCCGUAACACAGGUGCUGCAUGGCUGUCGUCAGCUCGUGUCGUGAGAUGUUGGGUUAAGUCCCGCAACGAGCGCAACCCUUGUCAUUAGUUGCCAUCAUUCAGUUGGGCACUCUAAUGAGACUGCCGGUGACAAGCCGGAGGAAGGUGGGGAUGACGUCAAGUCCUCAUGGCCCUUAUGACCAGGGCUUCACACGUCAUACAAUGGUCGGUACAGAGGGUAGCCAAGCCGCGAGGCGGAGCCAAUCUCACAAAACCGAUCGUAGUCCGGAUUGCACUCUGCAACUCGAGUGCAUGAAGUCGGAAUCGCUAGUAAUCGCAGGUCAGCAUACUGCGGUGAAUACGUUCCCGGGUCUUGUACACACCGCCCGUCACACCAUGGGAGUGGGGGAUACCAGAAGUAGGUAGGGUAACCGCAAGGAGUCCGCUUACCACGGUAUGCUUCAUGACUGGGGUGAAGUCGUAACAAGGUAGCCGUAGGGGAACCUGCGGCUGGAUCACCUCCUUUCUA
This 1294-nucleotide ribosomal RNA is filed under the name Neisseria meningitidis. RNAcentral describes it as "bacterial SSU rRNA". It matches the Rfam family "Bacterial small subunit ribosomal RNA", at positions 248 to 1533 of the family's 1533-position model. The record is from RNAcentral. Lineage: Bacteria; Pseudomonadati; Pseudomonadota; Betaproteobacteria; Neisseriales; Neisseriaceae.